GGCCGUGUGGCGAAAUGGCAUCGCGUCUGACUACGAUUAUGAUUCGUUAAUCAGGAGAUUGCAGGUUCGACCCCUGUCUCGGUCA
This 85-nucleotide transfer RNA is filed under the name Laccaria amethystina LaAM-08-1. It matches the Rfam family "tRNA". Rfam says of the family: Transfer RNA (tRNA) molecules are approximately 80 nucleotides in length. Their secondary structure includes four short double-helical elements and three loops (D, anti-codon, and T loops). The record is from Rfam by way of RNAcentral. Lineage: Eukaryota; Fungi; Basidiomycota; Agaricomycetes; Agaricales; Hydnangiaceae.